GUGUUUUCGCGUUAUACUUCAAUUGCAUGAACGGUCCGCAUUAACGAAAUUUCACGACCCAUGAUCCAUAUCGAUAACCAAAUACAUACAUGCUCCCAUAGUACUUAGGAAAUUAAUAGUCGUUGUUUAUUAUAUUUAAUUACAGGGAAUAUUUUUAAAUAGAAUAUUUUACUCGUCGUAUUAAGAAACGUAUAUAAACGAUAUACUUGUGCUCGUUUUUGGUCAUUGUUCAAUGGAAUAAAAAAAUGUCACGAAUUUACCAUCGAAUCGCGAUUGAAAUGAUUUCCAUUAUUGAGAAGUGGAUUGUUUCUUGUACACGAUGUUAACGAGCAAUGGCAGUUAAGAGAGGAAAGUAGAGUAGCAACGUGUUGAACGCGACCGUCGCUCAACAGGACUAGAUGCUUGGCUCCUGACAGAUAAAUGCUUUUAUGUAAUGCUGCCAGGGCUCUAGUCUGGAUAAAGAGAAGUAAAACCAUUGCGCAAUGACCCCGUUGCGCGUUUCGGCCAGGCCGUGUUGGGAAAUCCAUCGUGUCGUUAAAAAUGUGGGCCAUCGGCACAUUCUUGUUCCACGAAAACAAGCCGCGAUGCAACACCCAAUACGACCUAUAUUGCCAUCAUAGUUCGCCACUUUCAUAAUCAAAUCUCACCCUGUUUCUUCUCCACGAAACUCAAUCUUAUUUCAAACGAAAAGAUUUUUCAGAAGCAUUUGUACAAUUUUGCAAGAGAUAUAAAACUUUAUAGAACUACCAAAUUUUUCUUCAACGUUAAUUGACGAUUAUCGAAUACUCAUGAAUUUCUAAAAUUUCGAUAAAAGACACUAAACUUCCGUGUUCAUUAUAUUGCGUUUUGUAAAGCACUUUACCUGACAAUUAUCAAAAAUUCCUAUAUUCUGAAAUUUUGCAUCGAAUCUUACGGUAAAAGUUAUGAACGUCCGAAUCGCAAAACUUUCUUUCCCUUUGUAAGGAAAUAAUGCGUGCACAACACUUCUCCUUUUCUAUUUUUUUUAUUAAAUUACGUAUAAUCCAACAACAACAUUAUUCAACAAUAAAAAAUGUUGUGCAUCUAUUAUUUCCUUCUAAAACGAAAGAAACUUUUGGAUCAAUCUAUUAUCCUCGUUGAUAAUUAUCCAAUAUUCUCAAAGCUCAGAAAUUUUGCAUUCACGCCUAUAGCAGAAGGUUGUAAACUUCUUUGUCCGCUAUAUCACAAUUUCGUAAAGCAUUUUAAUUAAUAAUUAUCCAAUAUUCCUAAAUACGAGGAAUUUCAUAUCCGUCAAAAAGAGAUGUAACUUAAAGUUGAAUUAUUAUUACAGAAACAGCUGAGGCGACGCCAAGGAAAUCGAAAUUGGCGCUAAAUUAUUGGAACGCGCGCCGCGCCGCGAUCGCAAUGAUUUUUUUCGCGAAAAGCCGGUGAACUUGGGGAAUUACCGAGUGGCGCGCACGGGGCAAACGAAACGCGAACGUUCGCAGCGCCAUCGGGUAGCGAAUUGACCAAGUUGGUUGACAGGUACGCAUCGGUUCGUGGACACUAGGUGGCAGGUAGGCUGGCCGUGGUAGCGGGCAAUGUCAAUGUCAAUGAGCACGUGAGCCCCGCUCGAGGAAAAAUCGAUACGCUUCAGUGUCAAAGCUUUUCCCGGCGAAAGAGAGGUAGCUGCAUACGCGAGAACAAACCCGGGAAUAACCGAAGCAUAGUUUAUGACGCAAUGCAAUUUGUACUUAGAUCCUUCUCUCGACUCUUCGUAUACUCAUAGACACUUAGGUGUUACAGCUUCGUCUAAAAAGUGUCGUAACUUAUUCAUUUACGAAAGAAAGCGUGGUUGUUGAUCGUAAUUGAUGUUAUUUUAACGUAGUUGACGUUACUUCAAAGAAAGUGCCGUAGUAUUUGAUGAUAUAGAACGAGGAUGAGCGAUAAGGUUCGUUACUAAAGAGAGAACUGAUUCCACAGCUGCUGAUUAAAGAGACGUCUCGAACAAAGGAUCCCCUUUAAGAAACUUAUUCCGCGAAGAUUUCCGGAAAUCACCGUACAAAUCGUCCAUGUAACCAUCACACAAUAUGCUGAUAUCCUGAUUACGUAGCACGAAAUAUCUGAAACCUGCGCGGAGCAUAAUCCCACUCCGAGCAAAAAUAACUUCAUCGUACAGCAUGCAAUCAUCUUGAACUUAUCCUGUCCCAUCACGCAACCCCUACCCUAUCACAUCCGUCACCUAACUCCCCCUAGUACCGAAAAACAUACGCAAUCAGGCGCAACCACGAAACGAUUCAAUUCAAAUAUAUCGUGUUUCACGGGUGAUCUGUCACACGAGUAAAUCUCAUCCUCGAAUCACCAUACGUAACCUUCGAUCCCCCACCACCCACCCCCAUUGUCAAUAAACAAACAACAA
This is a long non-coding RNA of Bombus huntii, 2377 nucleotides long. RefSeq lists it as uncharacterized. NCBI's taxonomy places the organism in Eukaryota, Metazoa, Arthropoda, Insecta, Hymenoptera, Apidae. The transcript is spliced from 2 exons. The record is from RefSeq and is a predicted model, not a curated record.